This 472-nucleotide ribosomal RNA is filed under the name uncultured bacterium. RNAcentral's name for it is "bacterial SSU rRNA". It matches the Rfam family "Bacterial small subunit ribosomal RNA", at positions 329 to 793 of the family's 1533-position model. The record is from RNAcentral.
UAACGCACUCCUACGGGAGGCAGCAGUGGGGAAUAUUGCACAAUGGGCGCAAGCCUGAUGCAGCCAUGCCGCGUGUAUGAAGAAGGCCUUCGGGUUGUAAAGUACUUUCAGCAGUGAGGAAGGUGGGUAUGUUAAUAGCAUAUUCAUUUGACGUUAGCUGCAGAAGAAGCACCGGCUAACUCCGUGCCAGCAGCCGCGGUAAUACGGAGGGUGCGAGCGUUAAUCGGAAUUACUGGGCGUAAAGCGCAUGCAGGUGGUUUGUUAAGUCAGAUGUGAAAGCCCGGGGCUCAACCUCGGAAUUGCAUUUGAAACUGGCAAACUAGAGUACUGUAGAGGGGGUAGAAUUUCAGGUGUAGCGGUGAAAUGCGUAGAGAUCUGAAGGAAUACCGGUGGCGAAGGCGGCCCCCCUGGACAGAUACUGACACUCAGAUGCGAAAGCGUGGGGAGCAAACAGGAUUAGAUACCCUGGUAG